AUUGAACGCUGGCGGCAGGCCUAACACAUGCAAGUCGAGCGGAUGAAGGGAGCUUGCUCCUGGAUUCAGCGGCGGACGGGUGAGUAAUGCCUAGGAAUCUGCCUGGUAGUGGGGGAUAACGUCCGGAAACGGGCGCUAAUACCGCAUACGUCCUGAGGGAGAAAGUGGGGGAUCUUCGGACCUCCCGCUAUCAGAUGAGCCUAGGUCGGAUUAGCUAGUUGGUGGGGUAAAGGCCUACCAAGGCGACGAUCCGUAACUGGUCUGAGAGGAUGAUCAGUCACACUGGAACUGAGACACGGUCCAGACUCCUACGGGAGGCAGCAGUGGGGAAUAUUGGACAAUGGGCGAAAGCCCGAUCCAGCCAUGCCGCGUGUGUGAAGAAGGUCUUCGGAUUGUAAAGCACUUUAAGUUGGGAGGAAGGGCAGUAAGUUAAUACCUUGCUGUUUUGACGUUACCAACAGAAUAAGCACCGGCUAACUUCGUG
Molecule: ribosomal RNA, 484 nt
Filed under: uncultured bacterium
Lineage: Bacteria
Description: partial 16S ribosomal RNA
Rfam family: Bacterial small subunit ribosomal RNA
Source: RNAcentral